RNAcentral lists this ribosomal RNA (388 nucleotides) under Biatoropsis hafellneri. Its description in RNAcentral is "partial large subunit ribosomal RNA". It matches the Rfam family "Eukaryotic large subunit ribosomal RNA", at positions 1 to 385 of the family's 3401-position model. Lineage: Eukaryota; Fungi; Basidiomycota; Tremellomycetes; Tremellales; Tremellaceae. The record is from RNAcentral.
GACCUCAAAUCAGGUAGGGCUACCCGCUGAACUUAAGCAUAUCAAUAAGCGGAGGAAAAGAAACUAACAAGGAUUCCCCUAGUAGCGGCGAGCGAACCGGGACGAGCUCAAAUUUGAAAUCUGGCGCCCUCCGGGCGUCCGAGUUGUAAUCUACAGAAGCGUCUUCCGCGCCGGACCGUGUCCAAGUCCCUUGGAACAGGGUAUCAAAGAGGGUGACAAUCCCGUGCUUGACACGACGACCGGUGCUCUGUGAUGCGCUCUCCACGAGUCGAGUUGUUUGGGAAUGCAGCUCAAAACGGGUGGUAAAUUCCAUCUAAAGCUAAAUAUUGGCAAGAGACCGAUAGCGAACAAGUACCGUGAGGGAAAGAUGAAAAGCACUUGGAAAGAG